Molecule: long non-coding RNA, 488 nt
Organism: Sebastes umbrosus (honeycomb rockfish)
Lineage: Eukaryota; Metazoa; Chordata; Actinopteri; Perciformes; Sebastidae
Exons: 4
Source: RefSeq, a predicted model, not a curated record
CCUACUGGACCCAGAACAAGGCCUACUGGUCAAAGACUCACCCUACUGGACCCAGAACAAGGCCUACUGGUGGAAGAUAGAAACUGUCAUCAGGGCAUCACAUCAGACUGAACUCUUUGUCCCUGCUCACCUUUGAAAGGGACUAUGAAGUCAUUUCAGUGUUCAACACCAAGAAGCCCCGUCGUCUCCUGCUGGAAUCAUCAACAGUUGCUAGGGUUGUGUGGAUGAAGGGAUGUGCUGGAGGAUGCAGCUUGGAAGGAGAAUGGUACUGCCCAUGGAUCAUAGCUGGCGAGGUAUAGCCAGGCUACUAUCUCCAACAUCAAAAGAAUGGAAAAAAACAACUGUAUUGUAGACCAAAAGAGUGACGGCACAGCACUGCACACUACAUCUGAAAACAUAGGCAGAAGAGCUCGGAAGCAUUAAUUAAUUAUGCCCAUUUAACAAGUCCUUCAAUGUGUUAUUAAAAUGAGUCCAAUUACACAACUGAA